GACGAACGCUGGCGGCGUGCCUAAUACAUGCAAGUAGAACGCUGAAGAGAGGAGCUUGCUCUUCUUGGAUGAGUUGCGAACGGGUGAGUAACGCGUAGGUAACCUGCCUUGUAGCGGGGGAUAACUAUUGGAAACGAUAGCUAAUACCGCAUAACAAUGGAUGACACAUGUCAUUUAUUUGAAAGGGGCAAUUGCUCCACUACAAGAUGGACCUGCGUUGUAUUAGCUAGUAGGUGAGGUAACGGCUCACCUAGGCGACGAUACAUAGCCGACCUGAGAGGGUGAUCGGCCACACUGGGAAUGAGACACGGCCCAGACUCCUACGGGAGGCAGCAGUAGGGAAUCUUCGGCAAUGGGGGCAACCCUGACCGGGCAACGCCGCGUGAGUGAAGAAGGUUUUCGGAUCGUAAAGCUCUGUUGUAAGUCGAGAACGAGUGUGAGAGUGGAAAGUUCACACUGUGACGGUAGCUUACCAGAAAGGGACGGCUAACUACGUG
RNAcentral lists this ribosomal RNA (497 nucleotides) under uncultured bacterium. RNAcentral describes it as "partial 16S ribosomal RNA". It matches the Rfam family "Bacterial small subunit ribosomal RNA", at positions 28 to 507 of the family's 1533-position model. The record is from RNAcentral.